RNAcentral lists this ribosomal RNA (1000 nucleotides) under Niphargus dancaui. Its description in RNAcentral is "eukaryotic LSU rRNA". It matches the Rfam family "Eukaryotic large subunit ribosomal RNA", at positions 366 to 952 of the family's 3401-position model. The record is from RNAcentral. Lineage: Eukaryota; Metazoa; Arthropoda; Malacostraca; Amphipoda; Niphargidae.
GAAAAGCACUCUGAAGAGAGAGUCAAAAGACCGUGAAACCGCUCAGAGUAUAAGCCAAUGGAGCUUGGAAGGCUUCCGCAGGUGAUGUCCAUCAUACGUGGUGUUCUUAAGACCUUGAGUGUGGCUCGUCAGGCGUAGCAUUGAGUUUGCCAGGUUUAGCUGUCGUGCGGGGGGUUCGGCUGGGAGGACUUCGGCUUCGGCCGGAGGGCUCUUCUGGUCGUCCCCUUUUGAAUGGACGUUCAGAACCUCUUGUGUCUAAUGCGGUUAUGCCCACCACAGCACGUUGUGAGGUCACCCACAGGCUCAACUGCCGAUCGCGCAUCCAGGACGAUGGCAACGAUGCGUUGUUGAUGAUGAUGGCUCGAGAGAGACCACACACACACGCGUGUCUAGUCCUGGGUCGGGCGGCGACCGAGAUAAACCUGGUACGAUCCUCUAGCGACGAGCUGCUUUCUGGCCAGACCGACGCCCAGGCGCUUCCACUGUGCCGGAAGCGUCAACCCCAGGCGGUGUGAACCCAGCUGCAUUAUGCAAGGUCUCUCAGCCGGGCGUUGGUCUGAGUGGUGUUAAGUCCAGCACCAUCGGUCACGUCUCGAAACACGGGCCAAGGAGUAUAGCAUGUGUGCAAGUCUAAGGGUCUCACAAAACCCGAAGGCGAAGUGAAAGCAAGACUGUGGCGGGGGAGCUACGGCGAACCCGCCGGCCUAGUGUGACGCGUGCGUCGCCUGGCUUUAACAGAGCUGAUCCUGUUUUCUCGGUUAAUUCUUGGUGCAGGCGCAAGCUCCGGGCUCACGUACAACACUGGUCACACGCCUCGCGUGUGUGGCUGUGUUGUGAGCACCGUGGAGCAUGCAUGCUAUGACCCGAAAGAUAGUGAACUAUGCCUGGCGAGGGCGAAGCCCCAGGAAACUGGGGUGGAGGCCCGUAGCCGUUGUGACGUGCAAAUCCAUGGUAUCAGCUGGGCAUAGGGGCGAAAGACCAAUCGAACUAUCUAGUAGCU